This 63-nucleotide transfer RNA is filed under the name Mochlus sundevallii (Peters' eyelid skink). RNAcentral's name for it is "Mochlus sundevalli tRNA-Cys". The record is from RNAcentral. Lineage: Eukaryota; Metazoa; Chordata; Lepidosauria; Squamata; Scincidae.
AAGCCUUGGCACACCUUCGUGUGCUUCUCUAGAUUUGCAUUCUAGCGUGAGCCACCGCAAGAC